AGUCGGGGGAAACCCGUC
This 18-nucleotide small nuclear RNA is filed under the name Arabidopsis thaliana (thale cress). Its description in RNAcentral is "snRNA_04009". The record is from RNAcentral. Lineage: Eukaryota; Viridiplantae; Streptophyta; Magnoliopsida; Brassicales; Brassicaceae.